UCCUACCAGUACCUUCCUGCCCACCUCAUAUUCCAGCUUCCUGAGAAAGCUGAUGAUUCAACUAAUCCUUGAGUGCACCCCUUACUCCUCCACCGGGGCGGGAAAUAGUGUUAAUGACUGUAAUAAUAACUCAUUUAGCGAAUGCUUACCAUGUGUAGGUACUAUGCGAUUUACAUUGUCUCCCGUCGCCUACACAGCCGCCUAGGGAGCCAGUAACUAUCUGUAUACCCAUUUUACAGAUUGGAUAACUGAGGAUGGGAGGGAUCUAGCAACUUGGCCAAGGUUGUGUAACCAAAAAAGGAGUGCAAGACGAAAUCCCAGAAGCACUCAGUAAAGCACUGCUGAAUCAGAUGAAAUAACCCAAACCAUUUGGGAGAAACCUACAAUCUCACCUCUAAGAAUAAAAACCUGUCUCUGGGCCCAGGAGCUGUAGGCUGCAGCUCCUCCAUCCACAACUCACAGCCUCUCUCCUUCCUGCCCCUAUCCAUUCUAGCUUUAGUAGCUUCACUCUCCCUGCUAUUAAAUAAUUUAUUGUUAUAAUAAUACCUUGUGCCUCAGUGAUGCCUUUAAUCCAAGAUCUCAAAGUGUUCUUCUUCAUCGUACCCCCACCGACAUGGGGAGAUGGAGGUAUUUCCCCCACUUUAUGGGUGAGAAAAACCAAGACAACAUAGAGUAGAAAUGACUCACUAUGGAAAUCAAUGGCGUGGUUUCUUCUCUGGGCCCUUCCCCUCCUCCUUCCAAACUCUUGGCUGCCAACAUGUGCAUCAAAAUUUCAAAUUCCAGAGACAAAGGCCAUUGAGUUUUCACAAUAAAGGACAUUUGCAAA
Molecule: long non-coding RNA, 826 nt
Organism: Myotis brandtii (Brandt's bat)
Lineage: Eukaryota; Metazoa; Chordata; Mammalia; Chiroptera; Vespertilionidae
Exons: 2
Source: RefSeq, a predicted model, not a curated record